This is a long non-coding RNA of Dendrobium catenatum, 1214 nucleotides long. RefSeq lists it as uncharacterized. The transcript has 3 exons. NCBI's taxonomy places the organism in Eukaryota, Viridiplantae, Streptophyta, Magnoliopsida, Asparagales, Orchidaceae. The record is from RefSeq and is a predicted model, not a curated record.
ACGAAUUUCAUUCUGUUUGAAAAAAUUGGAUAUUCCAUUGCUUGGAAUGUUGUAGGUAUUUCUUCUUCCUUAUUUCUCUUAUUCCCUUCCAUUAGUUUCCUUUUUAUUGGUUUUGUGAAAAAAAAAUGGGAUUUAUCUCCCUCAUUGUUAAAAUAUAAUGGCUCUUUGAAAUUUUUAUAAACUUAAAGAUAGCUAUUACACGAUUUGGAAGCAUCUAUAUUAUCUUCUUCCGAACUUGUUCUAUUCCCCGCUGCAGUUCUCUUGCAAUAAAGUUGAGUUAAAAUUUUUUUUAUUAUCUCCAAAGUUCUAUUCCCGCUACAGUUAUCUUGCAAAAAACUAGAGGUAAUUGUUUUUAUUAACUCCAAAGUUCUGUUCCCACUGCAGUCCUCUUGCAAAAACCUUGAGGUAAAAUUUUUUUAAUUAACUCCUAAAUCCAAAAAAGAUUUAGAUUUAAAAUCCACCUCCUAAAAAUACAAAAAUCAAUAAAUAUGUUGAUUGGAAAUAUGAGUGAUUUUGCUUGUAUUAGUUCAGUGGAUGUUCAAUCAGCCAUGGAUUGUUUUUUAUUUUUUGUCCUUUUGGAAAUUAAAGAAUAGAUGUUGUGGCUUUCCUAUAAGACAUUCAUAUUGGCAUGAACUAAGCUUAUCUACAUUUAUCCAAAGUACUAUUCAUCUCAUGAAAAAUUCUGUUUCAUGAACGUUCAAAACAUAUUGAUGUAAAAUUACACUUCAUUAGAGAUAAUAUAAAGUGGAUAAAUUUUAAUUUAAAAUUGUUAGUUUGUUAUUAUUUACAUUUAUAUAAUUUUUUUAAUCUCAAUAUAUAAUGGAGAGGUGCAUUGUGGUUGGGAAUUCAAAUUCCUCAAUGGAGGUUGUGGAUGACGCAAGCAUGAAGUGUGUUGCAUUAGCUAGCAAACAUCCAUUGUAUGAGCUUGGAGCUGCAAACCUUUUGGUGUAACAACUUAAUGAGCUCUCCGUUGUUGAUUUGAAGAAUCUUGCCGUUGUUUUUCCUGAAUUUUAUUCAGGUGAGCCAGAUAUGGAAUUGGAGGAAGAAGACAAGCCUCCUGCUUCAUCUGUUGCUGUCAAUGAUCACUUCUGGUUAGGACCGAACCUUCCCAAUGUGAAUUCUUUCAGUACUGUGAUUCUUAGAAGUAGCUAUGGAGCAACAUUUUCUUUUGGAUUCAAUGACAUUGAAGAACUUAACAUGGCUCCUAGUUGUAG